UACGGAGGGUGCGAGCGUUAAUCGGAAUUACUGGGCGUAAAGCGCGCGUAGGCGGCCCGGUCAGUCUGGCGUGAAAUCCCCGGGCUCAACCUGGGAACUGCGCUGGAUACUGCCGGGCUGGAGUGUGGGAGAGGGGCGUGGAAUUUCCGGUGUAGCAGUGAAAUGCGUAGAGAUCGGAAGGAACACCAGUGGCGAAGGCGGCGCCCUGGACCAACACUGACGCUGAGGUGCGAAAGCGUGGGGAGCAAACAGG
RNAcentral lists this ribosomal RNA (253 nucleotides) under uncultured bacterium. Its description in RNAcentral is "partial 16S ribosomal RNA". It matches the Rfam family "Bacterial small subunit ribosomal RNA", at positions 524 to 776 of the family's 1533-position model. The record is from RNAcentral.